Gallus gallus (chicken) is the source of this 5252-nucleotide long non-coding RNA. RefSeq lists it as uncharacterized. The transcript has 2 exons. NCBI's taxonomy places the organism in Eukaryota, Metazoa, Chordata, Aves, Galliformes, Phasianidae. The record is from RefSeq and is a predicted model, not a curated record.
UCUCUCUGUGCUCUCUGAGCUGAAGUUGUGGAUGCUGCCUGCUCCAGAACUCUGUAUCUCUGAGGACCUUUGGGGCCAGCCAGCCCAUCCCCAGGACUCCUGGGCCUGUGUGCCCACGUGUGUCUGUGGGUCUGUGCGUGCCCAUGUGUGUCUGUACCCUUCACGUUUCUGCCCUCUACUUCCAUCAGUGACUCAUGUGAAAAAUAAAUUGAACGUGGCUUGUACUAGCAGAGUUGUUCCCUUUGAGUAACACUUAAAAUAAAACUUUGCUAACUUAGAUCAAUGAACCUUCAGCACGGUGAAAUUAUACCCGCAAUUGCAGGUUAAGGUGUGAUGUGUUUACAGGACAUUCCUAGCGAUCCUUCUUACAUGUUUUGGCAAAAGUGGCACUUGGAUACAAGAACUAUUUGCUUGCGAAACACAGGCAUGAGGUAUGUGGUAUCAGCAGCUUGAUUCCCAUUGUGUAGCACUCGGGCCCUGCCUGGAUCACCAUCCCAGCUGACACCACCAGGCCUUCAGGCUCAGACUGCACGCCCUGGUGAGGAGGCACAACAGGUUGUUGGCCUCUGCAGACAAGGCCGGAAGAACCUCACACCAAUGAGCUACACAGCUCGCUUCAUUCCUACAGGUGAAGGAAAUAAAUUGCCUGCAGUUGAGCUAAAUGUGUUUCUAACUAUUUGCAGGCUUCCAGGGUCUGGUCUGCCUAAUUAAGCUAUAGGAAGAGGAUAGAAAUUCACAUGAUACACAUAUAACCAAAUAUAUAUACUGGCACCUUUUGAACGCCAGAUGUGAAAUGCUACCUAAGAAACCUGUGUUAUGUUUGAUCUGGAGUGGACAAAGUGGGUGAAUUUUAUCUCCACCUCAUGCAUUUUUUGUUAGUUUGACAGAGAGUGCAGAGGAGCUGACAGCAUACAGCCUGCCACAGAGAUCUCUGACCAGCGGCUGAAAGAAGAGAGAAAAAAUUGUUUUGAUUUGAGGAGCUGAAACAGUUAAAGCAGAGGGGCUAAAGCAGCAACGUGAACCUGACCUUCUUUCAAUUUCCACCAUUAUGGCAUUGGCAACUUGAGUCCGAUCUUCCCAAGGUGAAUCGGACCUAAAUUCUGGGAAAUAAUAAUAAAAAAAAUCCCUACCUCUAAAUCUACUGCAUUAUUAGAUAGGUGGCUGCAUAGAAGUAUAACUCGGAACCCUGCAAUCUAAAAGUCAUCGGUUUCUUUUCACUUUUACUGACUGCAUGUGGGCUUUUCCUAACUUUCUUUGAUGUGGGUAGGUCACCAUGGAUGACAGAGGUCAGGACGCUGCUGAACAACAGGCACAGGUCAUACAGAGACUUGGGGAGACAUGAACCACAGUAAUCGGUUCUGAAGUCAUCGGUAUUCAGCCCCUGUUUGGGCUUUCCAAACUGUGAAACUGUGGUUUCCAAAGAGCCUGAGAGAACUGAGGCACCAGGUUGAAAGUAAGAUUCUAGGCCCAUAUGUAUGGCCUAGGUUAUCGGCCUGGAGGCUGACACAGCUGCUCAUUUCAUCAGAGAAAGUCUCACUAUGGAUAGGCUGUUGGAAGAUGCUGUUAGCUCGCUCUCUCUCAAUAGAGCAGUACUGGAGAUGGGAUACUUCCUACUAACCACAGUAAUUCACCUCCUUCGGUGCCGUGGAGCCAGAUGAGUUUCACAUGGUAAUGGGAAGGACAUUUCUUAAAGCAUAGCAUUCUGGUAAUGUUUCUUCACUGAUUUCUUUGACACACACAUAGAAGUUUAUUAUCUGAGUAGCACAGUGGCACUACACUGAUAUGUUCAGUCUGUCCUAAAAUCUCUUAAGUGCUAUGAGAAUAAAUCUGCUGCUCUUCUUACUGUUUGCAGUUGAUAGUAUUGCAUGGGUUUCACACUUUCUCCUGUGGUGUUAUUCAGUGAGUCACUCUGAAGAUAACAUAAACUUCAGCUAUGGUUUAUGGAACUUUCUGCUCUCAGUAAGAAGCACAUAUAAAUAUCCUGAAGUAAUUCAUUAAGAAAAAAGAAGUAUUAGAAGAUGGUUCAUAAGACUAGGGAGUUCUAAGGAGUGAAAGAAAACAGAAACCCAAGCCAGUGGUACAGUUUUAUUAAAGUGCUGAGCAAAUAUUCACCUGACAAUACGGUGACAAAACCUGUUCACUUUUGCACUAUGAAUAUAGAGACAGUUCUGCAGGAGCUGCUGAGCAGGUCUAUGCCUGCCUGUAUCAGUGGAAACUGGGAUUAAGUGCUAGGAGUGCUGAAUGCUGAUGAAGACAAAGCUGCAUACAGCCACUCUUAAUAGUGUAAACUAAUACAUUUUUCAGUAUCACUGAAUUUGCUUACGAGAGACUCAAUAGCAAAGAGCAUAUUUGUUCUUGUUGGUAAUGCUGACACUGAUUCAAGCAGUCUCUUGUCUGACAAAGGCUUGCUGCACACCUCUUCUCAAAACUGUGAUUAAGGUCGUGGCAAUCAUACUGUUCAGAUUCUGUUGUAAAUGACAUUGGAUAUAGGAUAGUUUCUGGCUGCAGUGAAAAAAAAAAAAACCCAACAAAUUGUAAGGUCAGAAGCACAAGUCUUAUGCCUAUAACACUGAAGACGAUAAUAAAAAUGUGGUUUUGAAAGAAGAGUUAUAAAAAGUAUCCUCAGGCAUGGAAGUAACGAUUAUGUACUGCUAGCAAUUUGCAUUCUGCUAAGUUAGAGAAGGGCACUUCUGACAGAUGAUUGUUGAACCCCCAUCAAAGUCAUAGGGAAUUAUGUAAGAAAUAUCAAUGUAGCCAUUUUCAGUGUGCUACAACGGUGUCUGCAUGUCAAGAAGUAGGGCUGAGGCAACCGCAUCCAGGUUUUCUGUGUGAGAUAACAGAAGCAGACUUUGCAGGACUGGAAACCACCUGUAUGUUUCUGCACUUAAACAAUUGUGCUCAGUUUGUGUAACCCUAACAGCUUCCUUUAACCUUCUGUUCUGUAGGGCUCAGCAUCUCACAGGUAAAUUAAAAAGCUAAACAAAAAUGAGAACUUUUUGUUGAAGCCUGAUUAAAUUUCACAGUUUGUGUGUAAUGAGAGUACUGCUUUAUUUUACGCCUCCAGCAAUCUGCAAUGUCUUUUCUCUCUAUGUUGGUUUGCGUGCAGCUCUCAUGACUGUGUUACCAGAAUGCCAACAUGUCUCUGCUUGGAAGAUACAGGCACAGAUUGCAUAUUCUUCAGCUUUGAUUCAGCUCCAGCUUCAGACUUGAGAACAGACAGAGCGCAGUUUGCCUGGAUUCCAAUACAGAAAAGCCACAGACUUGUGGAACACUAUUAAGAGAGGGGUGGCAAAUUCUCAUUAGGGAUGUGUUAGCAGGAACUGAGGUGGUUGAGAGAGAAACUAAUGUGUCAUAAAACCUUCACCAAAUAGAGGGAAAUAUGUUGGACAAAAAUUGUAUUUAUUGCUUAACACAGUCUUUGUUUGUUAUAAGUUGCUGGAAGUUUUUGUUUGUUUGUUUUUCUGGUACAGCGUUUGGAAUGCCUGGAGCUCUUUACAGGCAAAGAAGAGAGGAAGAUUGUAGGAAAACCUAGGAGGAGUUGUAAGCUUAUUUCAGUUUCUGGUAUUAUUAAUGAUUUCCUGUAUGCAUUUCACAAUUAAUCCUCUUAGGAGAUGUCCUUGUCUGAUUAAGGUGAAGAUGUUCCUUAUGUUGUUCAGGUAGAUGUGUACAAACACUGUGGGGGAAGGGAAGCUGCACAACUGAAUAAUUAAAAUCCACGGGUCCUACAUAUACAUAUCAUCACAGAUCUGCUUGAGGCAUUUUAAUGGCUCUGCAAAAUGGAUGCAAGUGAAAAAACCCCUCAGCAGAAUGAACUCAUGGAAGCAGUCAGUAAAGAACAGAAACACCCUAAUGGAGAUAGAAACACUUCUAACUUCUCAAACCCAUUUUUCCAGAAGGAGCUACAUCAUAAUUUCAAAGGUAGGCCUGGGAACUAAAAGUCAUGGCUCUUAACAUUAAAGCCUGGGAACUAUAUGUUUGCUUAAUGAAUGUUUUAUAAUCAGUAAGUUGCUUCACAGCUUGCCAACUAUCAGGCCAUUCCUGUUCACACAGAUAAACUACCUAUACCUGAUCCACAAGCCUGUCAUCUGCCCCACUGGACACCUCUCUUUGCCAACCAUCUCCUCCCUCAAAAUCUUGUUAGCGCUGUGUUAUACUCAGUGCAGUUGCUUCCAGCCUGAUGUUUUCUGUGUCUAGAUCAGACUUACAGCAAGAAUGGCACUUUCUUCCCAAAUGUCUGUUUACUGAAAAUGUAGUAGUAUCUAUCUCCACAAUCUUGCCGUUUUAGACAUCACAGUUACUGAAGUACAAUUAACUCAGUAAAGUGUUAGGAAAACACAGGAAUAUCCAAUCUGUUCUACCAAAGUACUGAACUGAACUCAUGCACUCAUGGCCUUGAGAUGCCAGGAUGGGGGCAGGGGAAGCAGUGUGCGGGGUACAGUGCUCAGCCUGGUGCUGGGCCACAGGACUUAUGUUUGCCAGGGGCACCUCCUCACUUUGGGGCUGCUGCAGGUUGCUUUAAUUGAUAACUCAUAUUUAUAUGGCAUCUGAUACAUGGUCUGAGAGAGAGGAACCGUUUUAAACUAUCGGAGAGGAGAUACAGAUUAGAUAUUAGAAGGAAAUUUUUUACUCAAAGGGUGGUGAGGUGCUGACACAGCUGCCCAGAGAGGCUGUGGGUACCCCUUCCCCAGAGGUGUUCAAGGCCAGGUUGGAUGGGGUCUUCGGCUGCCUGAUCUGGUGAAGGCAACCAGCCCAUUGCAGAGGGUUGGAGCUGGAUGAUCCUUAGGGUUCCUUCCAACCCAAGCAAUUCUAUGAUCCUAUGAUUCUAAGAUACCUAAGAAUCUGCCUUUAGGUGAGAGUAAGGCUGACAUUAGGUGAGAUUAAGAGCCAAAUCCAAAAAUGGCAAUUUAUUCUACUAUGAAACAAGUGAAGUAUUCUCAUGCUUUCUUCUUUGUCAUUUGCCAGUCUUAGAUCUCACUCACACUUUCCAUUUGUCAUUCGGAAUGACUCCUUGCGGGAUUCCAUACAUUUUUCUGUAUGCUGAAGUCUACCUCCUACAUCUUCUGUUUGGGAAGUGCCAGUGCAUGAAACAAUGGAGAUUUCAGCUAACAAAGAAUGCUCUUUGUCUCAGUGUUGUGACCCUGCCUCACAAAGGACAGAGAAGACAAUGAUACGUGAAUGUAAUUGCUGAGCCAGGAUGGGAAGAUAACUCUCCCUGCACUUUUUACAGAAAUUAAACAAAGAAAUUCUGUGUC